ACAGCCUAGGGACGCAGCAGUGAGGAAUAUUGGUCAAUGGGCGGGAGCCUGAACCAGCCAAGCCGCGUGAGGGAAGAAGGUACAGCGUAUCGUAAACCUCUUUUGUCAGGGAACAAAGGCGGGGACUAGUCCCCGGAUGAGGGUACCUGAAGAAAAAGCAUCGGCUAACUCCGUGCCAGCAGCCGCGGUAAUACGGAGGAUGCGAGCGUUAUCCGGAUUUAUUAGGUUUAAAGGGUGCGCAGGCGGCCUGUUAAGUCAGCGGUAAAAGCCCGGGGCUCAACCCCGGCGAGCCGUUGCAACUGGCG
RNAcentral lists this ribosomal RNA (305 nucleotides) under uncultured bacterium. RNAcentral's name for it is "bacterial SSU rRNA". It matches the Rfam family "Bacterial small subunit ribosomal RNA", at positions 333 to 638 of the family's 1533-position model. The record is from RNAcentral.